RNAcentral lists this ribosomal RNA (490 nucleotides) under Staphylococcus pasteuri. RNAcentral's name for it is "bacterial SSU rRNA". It matches the Rfam family "Bacterial small subunit ribosomal RNA", at positions 19 to 492 of the family's 1533-position model. Lineage: Bacteria; Bacillati; Bacillota; Bacilli; Caryophanales; Staphylococcaceae. The record is from RNAcentral.
CUGGCUCAGGAUGAACGCUGGCGGCGUGCCUAAUACAUGCAAGUCGAGCGAACAGAUAAGGAGCUUGCUCCUUUGACGUUAGCGGCGGACGGGUGAGUAACACGUGGAUAACCUACCUAUAAGACUGGGAUAACUUCGGGAAACCGGAGCUAAUACCGGAUAAGAUUUUGAACCGCAUGGUUCAAUAGUGAAAGACGGCCUUGCUGUCACUUAUAGAUGGAUCCGCGCCGUAUUAGCUAGUUGGUAAGGUAACGGCUUACCAAGGCAACGAUACGUAGCCGACCUGAGAGGGUGAUCGGCCACACUGGAACUGAGACACGGUCCAGACUCCUACGGGAGGCAGCAGUAGGGAAUCUUCCGCAAUGGGCGAAAGCCUGACGGAGCAACGCCGCGUGAGUGAUGAAGGUCUUCGGAUCGUAAAACUCUGUUAUCAGGGAAGAACAAACGUGUAAGUAACUGUGCACGUCUUGACGGUACCGAUCAGAAAGCC